This 66-nucleotide transfer RNA is filed under the name Runaria sp. 'striata'. Its description in RNAcentral is "tRNA-Asn". The record is from RNAcentral. Lineage: Eukaryota; Metazoa; Arthropoda; Insecta; Hymenoptera; Blasticotomidae.
UUAAUUAAAGCCAAAAAGAGGCAUAUUAUUGUUAAUAAUAUAAUUGAAUUUAAAAUUCUAAUUAAA